UACGGAGGGUGCAAGCGUUAAUCGGAAUUACUGGGCGUAAAGCGCGCGUAGGCGGUUUGUUAAGUCGGAUGUGAAAGCCCUGGGCUCAACCUGGGAACUGCAUUCGAUACUGGCAAACUAGAGUGCGAGAGAGGGAGGUAGAAUUCCAUGUGUAGCGGUGAAAUGCGUAGAUAUGUGGAGGAAUACCGGUGGCGAAGGCGGCCUCCUGGCUCGACACUGACGCUGAGGUGCGAAAGCGUGGGGAGCAAACAGGAUUAGAUACCCCCGUA
This 269-nucleotide ribosomal RNA is filed under the name uncultured prokaryote. RNAcentral describes it as "partial 16S ribosomal RNA". It matches the Rfam family "Bacterial small subunit ribosomal RNA", at positions 524 to 792 of the family's 1533-position model. The record is from RNAcentral.